UGGGGAAUUUUGGACAAUGGGCGAAAGCCUGAUCCAGCAAUGCCGCGUGUGUGAAGAAGGCCUUCGGGUUGUAAAGCACUUUUGUCCGGAAAGAAAUCCUUGGCUCUAAUACAGUCGGGGGAUGACGGUACCGGAAGAAUAAGCACCGGCUAACUACGUGCCAGCAGCCGCGGUAAUACGUAGGGUGCAAGCGUUAAUCGGAAUUACUGGGCGUAAAGCGUGCGCAGGCGGUUUGCUAAGACCGAUGUGGAAUCCCCGGGCUCAACCUGGGAACUGCAUUGGUGACUGGCAGGCUAGAGUAUGGCAGAGGGGGGUAGAAUUCCACGUGUAGCAGUGAAAUGCGUAGAGAUGUGGAGGAAUACCGAUGGCGAAGGCAGCCCCCUGGGCCAAAUACUGACGCUCAUGCACGAAAGCGUGGGGAGCAAACAGGAUUAGAUACCCUGGAAGUCCACGCCCUAAACGAUGUCAACUAGUUGUUGGGGAUUCAUUUCCUUAGUAACGUAGCUAACGCGUGAAGUUGACCGCCUGGGGAGUACGGUCGCAAGAUU
This 548-nucleotide ribosomal RNA is filed under the name uncultured bacterium. Its description in RNAcentral is "partial 16S ribosomal RNA". It matches the Rfam family "Bacterial small subunit ribosomal RNA", at positions 355 to 895 of the family's 1533-position model. The record is from RNAcentral.